Molecule: transfer RNA, 72 nt
Filed under: Bos grunniens (domestic yak)
Lineage: Eukaryota; Metazoa; Chordata; Mammalia; Artiodactyla; Bovidae
Also listed under: 4 other names
Rfam family: tRNA
About the family: Transfer RNA (tRNA) molecules are approximately 80 nucleotides in length.
Source: Rfam by way of RNAcentral
UCCCUGGUGGCUCAGAGGGUAAAGCAUCUGCCUGCAAUGCGGGAGACCUGGGUUUGAUCCCUGGGUUGGGAA